UUCCCUCUUCGGCCUAAAGAGGAAUUACCAUCAGCCAUCACCAGGAAGAGCAAGUUAACUUUUCAGGUUGUUUCUCAGAGACCAUUUAAAGUCUGUGCUAUAGAGUAGGCAUGGCUCCAGUUCCAGAAGGAAGACUUGGGUCAAGUAGCUCACAGGCAAAUGACUUAAAUGCUUCUUAUAAGAUACUACCUGAAACAAUCUCUGCUUAAAACAUCCGAUCUCCAUAUUGUCGGAUCUUCCUAUAACUCUGGGAUGGCAGCUUUUAGUAGCAGCUAAAGAUAGCCAUCAUGUACGAGCAGAAUGCAUUCUGGGGCAAAGGGGAAAAUGGAAAAGUUCAGAAAUCCAUCUAGAAGAAAUAGGAUCCGUUGGUUGAAUCCAUACAUGCAGAACCCACAGAUAUGGAAAGCCAAAUGUGUAUCCAGGAGUAUUAUCUGUAUGGGCCAUUGAAUACAUAGAACUUAAUGUGACUUAAAACAUUAUAUUAUAAAUUAAUUUAGCAUCUAAAUGUAUGUUAAAUUAUAA
This is a long non-coding RNA of Homo sapiens (human), 522 nucleotides long. RefSeq lists it as uncharacterized. NCBI's taxonomy places the organism in Eukaryota, Metazoa, Chordata, Mammalia, Primates, Hominidae. The record is from RefSeq and is a predicted model, not a curated record. The transcript has 3 exons.